GGCGGGUGGCGGUUCAGCGCCGCGGCUCUUUCUCCCUAACGCCCGAAACUCGGGGCUGAGAACUUCUCCCCGCCUGUGCCCCGCGCGCUCCGGCGACCCCCGGCUCCCGCACCUAGUUCCCAGCCCGUCCCCGCCCCGCCUCCGGCCGCGCCACCCCCGCUGUCGGCCGCCGGCCGCGCUGCUCUCGGUUACAAAGGAGGGAAAAUGAGCCGGGCGGCGGCGGCGCGGCGCGGGUCCACCGCGGCUGCGGCGAUGGCGGCCGCCCCCGGCACCACGUAGAACGCCCCCGCCCGCCCAGCCGCGGCCCAGGCCGGAGCAGAGCCUGCAGCUCGCCACUCGCCUCCUGAGCCCAGCGCGUCGCCUCCUGGCCGGAGGAGGAGGUGGAGGAGGAGGAGGAGGAGGCGCCGCCUUCUUGCCGCGCGCCCUCGCUGUUGUCUGCGCUCCGCUCUGGACCAGUUUGGGGAAGUUGCCGGAGCCCCGCGUCGCCCAGAUGUGCGACCUCAUUGAGUCGCAGCCGGCCGAGAAGAUCGGCAAGAUGAAGAAGUUGCGGAGAACUUUGUCGGAGAGUUUCAGCCGCAUCGCUUUGAAGAAAGACGACACCACCUUUGAUGAGAUAUGUGUCACAAAGAUGUCUACACGGAACUGCCAGGGAAUGGACUCAGUGAUCAAACCCCUGGACACAAUUCCUGAGGAUAAAAAAGUCAGGGUUCAGAGGACACAGAGCACUUUUGACCCAUUUGAGAAACCAGCUAAUCAAGUAAAGAGGGUGCAUUCCGAGAACAAUGCUUGCAUUAACUUCAAGUCCUCCUCCACUGGCAAAGAGUCACCAAAAGUUAGGCGGCACUCCAGCCCCAGCUCGCCAACCAGUCCCAAAUUUGGAAAAGCUGACUCAUACGAAAAACUGGAAAAACUAGGGGAAGGAUCUUAUGCUACAGUUUACAAAGGAAAAAGCAAAGUAAAUGGGAAGUUGGUAGCCCUGAAGGUGAUCAGGCUGCAAGAAGAAGAAGGUACACCUUUUACAGCUAUCAGGGAAGCCUCUCUGUUAAAAGGACUAAAACAUGCUAACAUAGUGCUGCUUCAUGACAUCAUCCACACCAAGGAGACGCUGACACUUGUGUUUGAAUAUGUGCACACUGAUUUGUGUCAGUACAUGGACAAGCACCCUGGGGGGCUGCAUCCAGAUAAUGUGAAGUUGUUUUUAUUUCAGUUGCUGCGAGGGCUGUCUUACAUCCACCAGCGUUAUAUUUUGCACAGAGACCUGAAACCACAGAACCUUCUGAUCAGUGACACGGGGGAGUUAAAGCUGGCAGAUUUCGGUCUUGCAAGAGCAAAAUCUGUCCCUAGCCACACAUACUCCAAUGAAGUGGUUACCUUGUGGUACAGACCUCCAGAUGUCCUCCUGGGCUCAACAGAAUAUUCCACCUGCCUUGACAUGUGGGGUGUUGGCUGCAUCUUUGUUGAAAUGAUCCAAGGAGUUGCUGCUUUUCCAGGAAUGAAAGACAUUCAGGAUCAACUUGAACGAAUAUUUCUGGUUCUCGGAACGCCAAAUGAGGACACGUGGCCUGGAGUUCAUUCUUUACCACAUUUUAAGCCAGAACGCUUUACCCUGUACAGCUCUAAAAACCUUAGGCAAGCGUGGAAUAAGCUCAGCUAUGUGAAUUAUGCAGAGGAUCUGGCCUCCAAGCUCCUACAGUGUUCCCCAAAGAACAGACUAUCAGCACAGGCUGCCUUGAGCCACGAGUAUUUUAGUGACCUGCCCCCACGGCUAUGGGAACUGACCGAUAUGUCUUCUAUUUUUACCGUCCCAAACGUAAGAUUGCAGCCAGAAGCUGGAGAAAGCAUGCGGGCCUUUGGGAAAAACAAUAGUUAUGGCAAAAGUCUAUCAAAUAGCAAGCACUGAUGAGCACAACAUUCUCAAGAGAGUACAGGUAUCCUAAGUGCUCAAAAACAUUUCAAACAGUGAAACAUGUGGACAGAGAAUUUUGAAUUUGGGUCCAGCCUACAGUGGAAGAUAAUGUUCAUUGGAGAAAUUGCUGGAUCACAUGUUUCAUGUUUUCUCUAUAAGAAGAAAAGAUGUGUGAUUAAGUUGUCAUCAUUCUGGGAAGAAAAAAAAAAAACAUUAAUGAAGUGGCCAAUAAUACGAAGGGAAUCACGGAUCACUUUCCUUCCCCUCCCUGUGGUGGAUUUCACUUACAAGAAAAUUGAAGCUGGCAAGACCCUGUUUUCUCUGCAAUUUAUUUAAAACCUUGCACGCAUUUGGAUACCUUGUGAUUUCCAAGAACUAUGUGAAGAUUAAGCUUUGCUUACUGAUACAUGGCAUGUAUUCUUUUCAGUCUUUUGUGUUUGAUUUUGUUUGAUUUCCCUCUGCAGCACAGCGUCUCUGUAAAGGUUUUUAUGCUUUCACCAGCCAUGUCUUAAAUACAUUAAGACAACACAUUUGGUGUUCACACUUCUUCAGUAAUGUCUGUACUUGAAAGCCACAUAGUGGCAUAAAACAAUGUGUGUUUUCUUUGAGAGCAGUGCACAUUUUGCAACCACUAGGAAGGAAAUUUUUAGCUACAGCAAACCCAUGUUCUCAGACCGACUUGACAACUUGGUCCCUGGCUGUGGGGCCCCACUUGUUGCUUACCUUUUGAGGACAUUUGCAAAUGUGGUUUUCUCUUGGAAAUAACUGCACGUGUAUAUAGGAUAUCAGAAUCUGCUUAGCAUUUUAAGCCACAUAGCAUGACUGUUUUCCAAGUAGGUUGGAAGUAAAGAAACUAAUAUCAAGCAUUCAGAACAAAGACAGGGAUAAAUUGCUUACUUUUCAACCUCUGGAAAUGGAGGUAACCUUUUACAUGUUUUCUGGGUCUUGUCAACAUCUCAUAUUUUCCAUCCACUCUGUUAUACUUCAGGAGUGUUUUCUAAAUGGAGGAGAAAAGAGUGAGGAACAGAAUGCUUAAAACCUGGGUGCAAAUGAAUUGUCUCUGCUAGAUGAGCCCUGAAAGCCAUAUUGGCUCAUUAACAGUUAAAAAAGCAAAUUACAAAGUUAUCCAGAGUUAAAAAUUUGCUCGCUUACACCAAAGCACCUUUAAAUUACAUUUUGUAAAACAUUCCAAGCUGAUUGGAAGACACCAUUGGGGACCUUAACUUUAAACAGUCUCCUGGAAAAACUGUUUGAACACAGGUUGCAGAACCCAUGUGGGAGUCUUGCUUUCAAGAUGGCAAGGGAAAAAGAAAGGCCCAGCUUCCCUUGUUAAGAUGAUGAGGGACCUUGAAGGAUGAAGGCACGUAUGUGACAAGGAGGGAAAAGUGGACUGGGCACACGUUGUGCUUUGAUGCGGAGGGAGACCUGCCUGAUGUAGGCCUUCUCCCAGUGGGGCCGGCCUCACUGCAUAACCCCAAAUAAUACUGAGGCCAAGUGGGCAGUUAGGAAACUUCAUAUAAAGCAUGAAACCUAGCCCCUCAGAACACCAAUUCCUAUGGAAAUACUUCCAUGUAUGUCGGUCUACAUUUUCCCAUUGGUCAGAAAGGAGGAGAGACUGAGAACUUGAAAUGUGUCGCACUUUUUUAGGAUCGAGACUAGGAGUUAUGAGCCCAUUUGACAAAGACAUCUUCUGAGAGUCAUGUGAGGGGAAAGGUUCUCGACAGUCAAAGCCAGCAUUCCUAAGAAAUUGGACCCAGAACUUCUAAGUGUUAAAAGGGUACCUUCCCUGGAGUGGGACGCAACAUGCCAAGGUCACAAUCCAGCCUAUUCAGAAGUGGCAUUCAUUGAACACUUAUAGGUGCAAAGCAAGGAAUUGUUUGCUAAUUAAUUUUAAAGAGAGCAAAAGUUACCCAAGACUAGAAUGUUUACUAGUUGCCACCUAGAACUCUUUCCCAUUCUUCUUUCGGACAUUCCAACCCAUUGGAAGUCUUUGGCUGUAUUUUAACAUAUGCUGAAAUUAGGAUUCCUUAAGAUAAAUGCGGGGAGAAAAUUUUACAUGCAAUCAAGAAUGGCCUUGUCUGUGGUUUGUUUUGAAUUAUUUAUUUGGGGGAGAGGCAUAACUUUUGUAUUUUACUAACUUUAAAUCAAGAGCAGCUGAUGAUUAAAUCUUGCUAUUUAAUAAGCUUUCUAAUUUGAACAUUUGAAAAUAUUUAAUAUUAAAAAAGACUUCAAUUAGGAAUGUUAGCAUCAUUCAGAGAUAUAUAAGCAGCUUCUCUCUGGAAUUGAAGCAUAAUACUCAGUAUUGGGGGGAUAUCUGUUUUUUACAGAGAUGUAUGUCUCAGAAGGUCUCAUUUAGGAGGUUUGUAGUUCCCCGUCCUUGUUAUCAGUACAGGAAAUCCAAAGUUUGCUUUGUCUCUCUCCCCUUUCCUCUCCUAUUGGCAAUCCGUCCUCCCUCCUCCUCUCCCCUGCCUUCUCCCACUGAGGGCAGCCAUGAAAAUCAUUACAGAACAUGUUCAUUAGCAGAUUUAUUAUUCUAUUGAGAAAGCAAUGGAAUGUUUUGUGAGAUUAUUUUUAUAUGAAGGAUUAGCUUGAAUUCGUACAGCUGGAAUAGUAGGAACACAUUAGCAUGGUGACGGUAUGAAUGCAACAUCAAUGCACACAUAGUAUCUGAAAGAAAAAUUGGGACUUCAUUUCCUUAAAGGAACAGUUUGGUUGACUUAAAAAUGCAAGAUACAUAGGACAUGCAAAAAUGUUUUGCAGUGCUCAAAGAAAAAACAAGGGGCAUAAGACAGGGGUGGCUGUCCAUCCACUGAUAUAAGGGUGAGAAGCUAUUUCUACCUCCCAAGAGUGAUAAGAAAAGUUUCCAGGGUAGCCUCCAGGUUUGCAGAGAGAGCAAAGCCUCUUGGUAUCCUCUCCUCAGUGUGUACAUGACAGCCAGUGUAAUUAAUACCCUAGCUUAUGUGUCUAUUUGAGAGACUCAUCUGUGAAUAAUACUGGUUUUGUAAUCUUUGUUACAUAAGAGGAUGUUUAGGCUGUACAUACUGGGGUAGAUUAUUUCCUACCCCCCCCCCAUCCGUAGGAAUAUGCUGCAUAAUUGCACAUAACUUUUAUCUCUCUUACUGGCUUAUAGGCAGAGGAAACCAUAUAUGUUACUGCCUUGCAAAUUUCUCAUACACCAAAAACAACCAAAAAAUGUCUCAAGUAAAAUAACCAAUCUCCUAUUUUCAUUCCCCUUCCCACAGCAGCAUAUUUUAGAGGCACAUACAAAAUUGACAUUCUCUAGUUGGAAGUGGACUUUUUUAAUUUUUCUUUUAUCUUUUUUUUUUUUGUAUGAUACACUGAGAUGUGUACUUUCUAGCAGGAGGUCAAUACCUAAGAAAUGUGUUAGUAUCAUUCAGAAAACUAUUAUACUCCAAAAUGAAACAUAGUAAGGAGAAUGGAAUAAUCUUGCAUAUUUGUUACCAAGUGUAAUUUGUCUGUAUUAUGAAAGAUGUAAUGGUUUGUCAGCUGUCACUGUUGUUUUCUUGUAACAUGAUAUGGAAUAAAGUAUAGCAGAAUCUCUGUA
RNA transcript from Acinonyx jubatus (cheetah), 5471 nucleotides. It is a transcript of the gene named cyclin dependent kinase 14, with no coding region annotated. The transcript is spliced from 16 exons. The record is from RefSeq and is a predicted model, not a curated record. Lineage: Eukaryota; Metazoa; Chordata; Mammalia; Carnivora; Felidae.